UACGUAGGGGCCUAGCGUUGUCCGGAUUUAUUGGGCGUAAAGAGCUCGUAGGCGGUUCGGUAAGUCAGGUGUGAAAUCUCCACGCUCAACGUGGAGGCGCCACCUGAAACUACCGUGACUCGAGUCCGGUAGGGGAGUGUGGAAUUCCCGGUGUAGCGGUGAAAUGCGCAGAUAUCGGGAGGAACACCAGUGGCGAAGGCGACUUCCUGGCCUGUUCUUGACGCUGAGGCGCGAAAGCUAGGGUAGCAAACGGG
RNAcentral lists this ribosomal RNA (254 nucleotides) under uncultured bacterium. Its description in RNAcentral is "partial 16S ribosomal RNA". It matches the Rfam family "Bacterial small subunit ribosomal RNA", at positions 524 to 776 of the family's 1533-position model. The record is from RNAcentral.